GGGGUGGCCAUGGAGCGCCUGUGCUGUCCCGGGCCCCCCGACCUCCAACCUGGCGUCCGGCAACUUAAUAAUCAGGUUAGGAACGACUUCUGAGAUCGUGGUCCAACCCAUGGCCGAACACCACCAUGUCAACCAGACCAUGGCACUGGCCAGUCUUUCCUUAAACACCUCCAGGGACGGUGACCCCACCAUCUCCAUGGGCAGCACACUCCAAUGUCUGAUCACCUUCUGUGAAAAAAUUCCUCUUAAUGUCCAGCCUGAACCUGCCCCGUGCAGUUUAAGACUGUCCUCUUGUCCUGUCUGGUUGCUGGGGAGAGAAGGCUGACCCCCACCUGGCUGCAUUCCUUUCAGGGAAUGGGAGAGUGAUCAGGUCACUGCUGAGCCUCCUCCUCUCCAGGCUGAACAGUCCCAGCUCCCUCAGCUGCUCCUCACAGGAUUUGUGCUGCAGACCCUUCACCAGUUCCAUUGCCCUUCUCUGGACAUGCCCCAGCACCUCAAUGUCCUUCCUGAACUGGGGAUUCCAGAACUGGACACCGUUCUCGUUGUGUGAGAGAGGCAACAGCUCCUGUUUGCAUGUCAACAGCAGUGUAAGGAUGUUGAUGUUGUAAGGAUGUAAGAAAGUGAUGCUGUGGGGAUGAAUCAUGACUUUGCAAACAGCUCCUAUAGCACCAGCCUCCAACCCCACUGAAAAAAAUCUCCCCCCGUCCCCCCAAUAGCUUUAUGCUUGUAAUGUCUGCUUGUUUUGAGGUUUUCCUUGCCUCUGGGCUUGCUGCAAAACCUCUGGUGUCUCUGCACCCUGCUAGCCAAACACCGAUUGCCUCUAAACCAAGACUUUUAACAGUUUUCAGGGAGGUCUAGCAUUGCAUUCAUCUGAAAUUAACACGGAUGGAGAAGCAGCAAGGAUAAUACCAAGGGAAAGAUUUCUGUUCACAGUCCCAGCUGCUGGGUGUGAUGCCUGGUUUUCCACCAGUGGCCAUCCUUGUUCUGCAGAGUGGCUCAUGGGUCUGAUUUUUCAUGUGGUCCUUCUGGCUGGUGUGUGUUUGAAAUGUUCUUGCUGCUGGCUGCCUGCUGAAAGAAGAAUUUGCUUUCCAGCUGUUCGAGAAGGAAAAGAGUGGGGGCGGAACAGUCUGGGCGUUCUCCUGCCCCUGCCAGCUCAGGAGUCCUCUUCCCUCACUGUAGCACCAAGCUCUGCCCUGUGAUCAUGGGGAGAACGCCUUGUUAUUUCUUUCACAGGUUCAGCACUGAAUCCGACCUCCUGGCUGUCCUUUGCCUGGCAGAGCCGUGCUGGAGGCAGGGAAGCAGCCUUAGGGCUUGGGAAGACAAAGCUGUGGUGAUCAUUCAUUUUUUCCUUUUCUGUGGCUGCUGGUGGUGACAAAAAUGAAGCACUGCCUCCUGUGCCGCUCGUUCUCCUACCAUUCCUGCCUCCUGGGCUAAUUCCUUCUCCUUCCUCUUUUGGGCCUCUUGCAACAAGGCAGGCACAGAGCUAAAAUUGUCAAGAGACAGAUAAAAGCUAGGAGAUCAUCAUUUUUUCUUUUCAGACAAGAUAAUUAGGAAGAGAAUCUCUGCGAGGAAGAAGAUCUUUCCAUCAUCAUUACUUUAUCUCCAGGCAGCUACUCUAAUCUCUCCAGGGACACGGCACUUUCAAGCACCGUGUUCUUGCUGUGUUUUUUUUAAUGCUUUAAUCCCUGUGUAGUUCACCCACUUUUACUACCAAGCAGCAAGUGAGUGUGAGCUGGUGUGUUUGUGUGCAUGUGCCUCUGUGCAUGGGGCAGGGGGGAGCACGCUUGUCCAUGUGAUUCUGGGUUCAAAUAAAUGUGCUUUGCUUCUGAUCAA
Long non-coding RNA from Cyanistes caeruleus (blue tit), 1833 nucleotides. RefSeq lists it as uncharacterized. The record is from RefSeq and is a predicted model, not a curated record. NCBI's taxonomy places the organism in Eukaryota, Metazoa, Chordata, Aves, Passeriformes, Paridae.